AAUUUGCAGGAGUCAAAAUCAUCCCCUUUGAAAGGACUUAUUCACAGAUGAAUCCUGAAGCAACUGAGGAGAAAGAGUAGAGCUUAAAGCUGCCCGAAAGAUGUGGAGAAUUUUAUGAUGGAAGAGAAUUUCAGUUCACUCAGGCGACCUUGGUGAAGUCAGCAAAGAAUGAGCUGAAUUCACUGGAUGCUGUAGACUUGGCUGCAGAUUCACGUUGUCUCUGCCGCCUUCUCUGAUGGAGAUGUUCUACACCAACCCUUCUGCUACUACCAUCACCAUCAAGCAGUCCUUCCUGCAACAGAUACUCACUGAGCCUCUAUCACAAGCCAGGCACUGCUCUCAGGCUGGAAACGAAGCAAUGAACCAAACAGAUAAAAAUCCCUGCCCGCGUGGAGCGUACAUUCUAAUAGGGGAGAAGUGGGGUGCCCUGGAAAUCUCACAUUCAAUUUGAACUUCAUUAUAAUUUAGUUGUUUUGAGUCUAUAUCGAGUCAAGUGAGUGUCUAGACUCCUGUCGGAGAUAUUCUGCAAAGACAGGUACCAACAA
This is a long non-coding RNA of Balaenoptera acutorostrata (minke whale), 545 nucleotides long. RefSeq lists it as uncharacterized. The transcript has 3 exons. NCBI's taxonomy places the organism in Eukaryota, Metazoa, Chordata, Mammalia, Artiodactyla, Balaenopteridae. The record is from RefSeq and is a predicted model, not a curated record.